GCAGGCUGCCCCAGCCAGCAGUGGUAACCUGCUGGGGUUCCCUUCCACGCUGUGGGAGGUUUGUUCUUUCGCUCUUUGCAAUAAUUCUUGCUGCUGCUCACUCCUUGGGUCCACACUGCCUUUAUGAGCUGUAACACUCACUGUGAAGGUCUGCAGCUUCAGUCCUGAAGCCAGCGAGACCACGAGCCCACCAGAAGGAACGAACGACUGCAGACGUGCCGCCUUAAGAGCUAUAACACUCACCUCGAAGAUCCGCAGCUUCACUCCUGAGCCAGCGAGACCAAGAACCCACCAGAAGGAAGAAACUGCCAACACAUCCGAACAUCAGAAGGAACGAGCUCCAGACACGCAGCCUUUAAGAACUGUAACACUCACUGCGAGGGUUCGCGGCUUCAUUCUUGAAGUCAGUGAGACCAAGAACCCACCAAUUCCGGACCCACUGGCAUUACAGGCGUGAAUCACUGUGUCUGGCCAAAAAGGAUCUAAUCUUAUAGCAGUGGAAUGAGGGGGAAGCCCAGCAAGGCCCAUCUGUUUGGAGUCUUCCUGGACUUCUGGGGCCUGACCCUUUUGGAACGGGGGUUUUAAGAUUCAUAAUCGACAAAUGGGUUCUUGAUAUGUUGCCCAGGCUGAGAGUUUCGUUAUGGCCAGCUGUGACACAGAAAGGUUGUUCCUACUUUGGCCAUUGGAGCUCUUUCCAGUUAGCUUCUCUUCCUUGGACAGCUUCCAUACGUUUUUGAGCACUUCCUUAUUUCUGACACCAGAAGAUGACUCAGGCUUGACUUGUAUUCUCCCCGUCCAACAAUGGAAUCUGCCAUUUCUCCAAGGAGCCCUGAUUCCUUUUAUUUGAGCGUGGUACAUAGAAGCUGAGCAACUUUUUCUCUCUUUCUAAUAAAUGCUAAUUCAGGAAAAAUAAAAAACUUAUAAAACAAAACUUCUCCUCUCAAAAUAAAAAUAAUUUUACGCAGUCCCAUAAGAGAAUACACAUUUUAAAAAUAUGUACAGCCUAUGCAAUUGACUAGAAUAGUGUUGGUGAGAACAUUCACACUGGCUUUAAUUAAAAAUUAAUGGUUAAUAUUUUUGCACUUUUAUGAAGCAACAGAAAUCUGAUCUUUAGUACUGAGAUAAAGUUUUUGUGUUUGAUGCAGUUUGCCCACCCAAACUAUCUGCGGGCUACAGUUUGCCCAUUUCUAUUCUAGAUUGCUGUUGGGGUAGAUUAGAAUUGUUGAGCGAAUUGACUAAAUUGCUCCAGUCUUUUUGAAAGGCCCAGUUGUCCCUUUGAAAUAUUUAUGGGUUUUUGAAUAAAGGUAGAAAUUAACCCUCCCACUCUUAAAACUUGAAACUUAUAUGUGUCUCAUCUGAGUGGUUUCCUCAGGAAACAGACCCUCACGCAAGGGACUGAAACUCACCAGAUCACCAUAUCCAGACCAUGAGAUCUAAGGUCUCUUACCCAUCGUGAUUGCUCCCUUACCCCUCCCUCAUUCCUGUAUUCCUGCAUGUAGUGACAUCCCUUCUCUGCUAUGUAAGCCCCAAAUUUUAGUGGGUCAAGGAAAAGGAUUUGAGACUUAUCUCCUGUUCUUCUUGACUGCAGCUCACAAAUAAAGUCUUCUUUCCUGGCAAUACUUCUUGUAUCAGGCAUUGGCAUUCUGUAUGGUGAGCAAUGGGAUCUAGACCAAACCCCUGGCAUUUGGUAACAAUUUAAUUUCAUGUCACUGGGUCAUCAUUAUAUAACUUGAGUAAUAGGUGGCAUCAUCUACCUCCUUUUCCUCCUCUUUCUUCUUCC
RNAcentral lists this long non-coding RNA (1780 nucleotides) under Homo sapiens (human). Its description in RNAcentral is "HSALNT0081349". The record is from RNAcentral. Lineage: Eukaryota; Metazoa; Chordata; Mammalia; Primates; Hominidae.